RNAcentral lists this ribosomal RNA (377 nucleotides) under uncultured eukaryote. RNAcentral's name for it is "partial 18S ribosomal RNA". It matches the Rfam family "Eukaryotic small subunit ribosomal RNA", at positions 592 to 976 of the family's 1831-position model. The record is from RNAcentral.
CAAUAGCGUAUAUUUAAGUUGCUGCAGUUAAAAAGCUCGUAGUUGGAUUUCGGGUGGGAAUGGCCGGUCCGCCGUUUCGGUAUGCACUUGCUACGCCCACCUUGCUGCCGGGGACGUGCUCUUGAGUUCACGCUCGGGACACGGAGUCGGCGAGGUUACUUUGAGUAAAUUAGAGUGUUCAAAGCAGGCCUACGCUCUGAAUACAUUAGCAUGGAAUAACACGAUAGGACUCUGGCCUAUCUUGUUGGUCUGUAGGACCGGAGUAAUGAUUAAGAGGGACAGUCGGGGGCAUUCGUAUUUCAUUGUCAGAGGUGAAAUUCUUGGAUUUAUGAAAGACGAACUACUGCGAAAGCAUUUGCCAAGGAUGUUUUCAUUAA